This 405-nucleotide ribosomal RNA is filed under the name uncultured bacterium. Its description in RNAcentral is "bacterial SSU rRNA". It matches the Rfam family "Bacterial small subunit ribosomal RNA", at positions 355 to 774 of the family's 1533-position model. The record is from RNAcentral.
UGGGGGAUAUUGCACAAUGGAGGAAACUCUGAUGCAGCAACGCCGCGUGAGGGAAGAAGGUCUUCGGAUUGUAAACCUUAGUAGUCAGGGACGAAAGAAAUGACGGUACCUGAAGAGUAAGCUCCGGCUAACUACGUGCCAGCAGCCGCGGUAAUACGUAGGUGGCAAGCGUUGUCCGGAUUUACUGGGCGUAAAGGAUGCGUAGGCGGAUACUUAAGUCAGAUGUGAAAAUCCCGGGCUUAACUUGGGAACUGCAUUUGAAACUGGGUAUCUAGAGUGCGGGAGAGGAAAGUGGAAUUCCUAGUGUAGCGGUGAAAUGCGUAGAGAUUAGGAAGAACACCAGUGGCGAAGGCGACUUUCUGGACCGUAACUGACGCUGAGGCAUGAAAGCGUGGGGAGCAAACA